ACGAACGCUGGCGGCGUGCCUCAUACAUGCAAGUUGAGCGCUGAAGGUUGGUACUUGUACCCACUGGUUGAGCAGCGAACGGGUGAGUAACGCGUGGGGAAUCUGCCUUUGAGCGGGGGACAACAUUUGGAAACGAAUGCUAAUACCGCAUAAAAACUUUAAACACAAGUUUUAAGUUUGAAAGAUGCAAUUGCAUCACUCAAAGAUGAUCCCGCGUUGUAUUAGCUAGUUGGUGAGGUAAAGGCUCACCAAGGCGAUGAUACAUAGCCGACCUGAGAGGGUGAUCGGCCACAUUGGGACUGAGACACGGCCCAAACUCCUACGGGAGGCAGCAGUAGGGAAUCUUCGGCAAUGGACGAAAGUCUGACCGAGCAACGCCGCGUGAGUGAAGAAGGUUUUCGGAUCGUAAAACUCUGUUGGUAGAGAAGAACGUUGGUGAGAGUGGAAAGCUCAUCAAGUGACGGUAACUACCCAGAAAGGGACGGCUAACUACGUG
Molecule: ribosomal RNA, 496 nt
Filed under: uncultured bacterium
Lineage: Bacteria
Description: partial 16S ribosomal RNA
Rfam family: Bacterial small subunit ribosomal RNA
Source: RNAcentral